Erinaceus europaeus (western European hedgehog) is the source of this 123-nucleotide ribosomal RNA. The record is from Ensembl. NCBI's taxonomy places the organism in Eukaryota, Metazoa, Chordata, Mammalia, Eulipotyphla, Erinaceidae.
GUCUAUGACCACACCACCCUGAACACACCUGUUCCCGUCUGAUCUCAGAAGCUAUACAGGGUCAGGACUGGUUAGCAUGUGGAUGGGAGCAUUGACCUUAUUAUCUAGUACUUCUUAUAGAAU